This is an RNA transcript of Passer montanus (Eurasian tree sparrow), 8576 nucleotides long. It is a transcript of the gene named nuclear factor, erythroid 2 like 3, with no coding region annotated. The record is from RefSeq and is a predicted model, not a curated record. NCBI's taxonomy places the organism in Eukaryota, Metazoa, Chordata, Aves, Passeriformes, Passeridae. The transcript has 5 exons.
CCACAGGGCAGCCGUGGGGCUCCGAGCCCCGCAGCCCGCGGGCCCGCCCGCCCCGCCCGGGUGGAGCCGUGCCCCGCCCCGCCGCGGGAGGAGGAUGAGGCGGCGGCGGCGGCGGCCCCGGCCGAGGCGGCUGCCCCAUGGCGGAGGAUGUUGACUUGAAAUCAUGUCGGGGAGCUUUAGAUGACUGCUGUCCACCUCCAGGAGAGGAUCAGCUGAAACUGCAAGAAGAAGAGGAGAAAGACAAAAAUCAAAGCAACAGCAACCAUGUAGAUUCCCUUCUCUCCUUGGAGGGCUAUUUACAGCUUCUGUCAUCACAGGUGGAGAACAUGCUAGAGGUGAACUUACUGGAAGAUACACAAAUUGCUACCUCUAGUAGAGGCCAAGACCCAUCAUCCUCACACCACAAUAUAAACUUGACCCAGACACUUCAGAACAGUUUCAGUCCUCCUGAUGCCAUGCUACUAAGAACAGACUACCCCACUCCAUUAAAUCCAAAACCAAGACACUUACAAAGGCAAGAGUUUUUCCCUCAAUCAAACUCUGGUAUCACAAAUCCAGAAUCACAAUUUCAUGGGUCAAAUUUGACAGGGCUGUUUUCGGCUGCUGACCUUAGAAAUCUAACAGCCCAUGAUGAUAAUUUUGAUGAAAUUAAGCUCAUGUCUUUGGCUUUAGAAGAAGGCUUUAGUCCUAUAGAAGUUUCUCAGAUCUUUGAAGAGCCUGGCUCAGAUUCGGGACUACCUUUGAAUUCAAAUCACAGCACCACCUCCUAUUCAGUCUGCUGUGAAGAUUCUGUUGGGUACAGCUACAGCAGCGGUGUUAAAUCUGCUCCUUCGCACAGCUUAGGAGCUGUUGCUGGCCACUGCCAAGAAAACAUUAAGCACAGCCAUGUGGAAUAUCCAGGUGUUGCACAGGGUCCUACAGAAGCCAUGCUUCAGCAGUUUCUUCAUAAUCACACUUACAAUCAGCUGCCAAGUCAAGCAGCAUUCACUCCAGAGCAUCAUCAACAGAUGUGGAUGAAGAAAUCAAACGAAGUAAAGGAGAGGUACCACAAUUCUACUGCUACAAACCGGAGCAGAGAUGAAUGGCGUGCAAAAGCUCUGAGAAUACCAUUUUCAGUCGAGGAAAUUGUGAGCAUGUCUGUUGACUCUUUCAACACCAUGCUGGCAAAGAACCAGCUGACAGAAACUCAGGUAUCACUUCUACGUGACAUCAGACGAAGAGGAAAAAACAAGGUAGCUGCCCAGAAAUGUCGUAAACGCAAACUGAAUGCAAUUCUUAACUUGGAAGAAGAUGUGUGUAAUCUCCAAACACAAAAGGAGAGCCUUAAAAAGGAGCACUCUCAGUGUAGCAAAUUAAUCAACCAGAUAAAGCAAAAAUUAAACAACUUGUACCAUGACAUUUUCAGCAGACUGAGGGAUGACCAGGGUAGACCUGUCAACCCAUGCCAGUAUGUCAUUCACUGCAGUAGCAAUGGUAGCGUUUUCAUAAUACCCAAGCACUUGGCCAAAUCUGAACAGAAACAAGAUAACAGAAAAGAGCAGAAACAAAAGUAAGAUGACUGGAGAUCACCUAAAUCACCUUCAUUUUGUCUGAAAGGAUGAUAAGAGUAUAUGUGUGACAACUACAGGUCAUUGAUUACAGCAGUUCAAACAGAAACUACACUUGAGGAGAAUCACUCUAUGUUCAAGGGUCUGGCAAACCCAACCAGCUGUGAUCUGUUAGAAGGUCCAUGAGCUGAGGCUUCUGGAUGAGGAAAUCUGUUUAGUUUUAGUUGGAAUUAAAGGAGCUAGACCAUCAGUGUAAUGUAGCUUCAUAGACCUAUUUUAAAACUAGGAAUUUAGUUACUGGCAAUGGGGGGCAGAGGGAAGAACAUCAGUGAGGGAUAAAAGUAAACUUUUUGAAUCAAUGUUAAACAUGCAAGAAAAUGUUUUAAUCUUGAAUACUUGACUUUUUAUACAGAAAAUGACCUUAUUUUAUUGUCUACCAUGAAAGAAAAAUUACAGUUCUAGUGCAUUUUCAACUUAAACUCACUGUGCAUUUACAUAGGCUCAAGAGAUAACUGCAUGCUUUGCAUUUAUUCAGAACAGCUCUGCUUUUCCUAGUAUUCCUUUGAGGAGAGCAGCCCAGGAGGCUACUGCAUUUUUCCUCAGUACUUUCAGCAUCAUAACUCCCAAGUAAAGAUAAUAUGCCACUUAAUUUUACAACUCAUACACUCAAUCUGCAAACAUGCUGAAAAAGUGUCUGAUUCAGUGUUUUCUUACCUUUAUUUUCUCUGCAACUAAAUCAUUCUCAAUUUUCUUCCACAAAAAUGACCAGUGAUGAAGGAGUAUCUGUUCUGUUUCCUAGUGACUGUGAUAUUUAUUUGUGUACCUUCUCUUUUCUUCCUAUUUUGACCUUCCUCAAGAAGUACUUGAGUUUUUUUCUGCGGCAUUUCUAACUGAUAUUUUUUAAGUGUCUUUAAUGUUUCAGAUUUAAAUUUUUAAAAUACACAUUUUACUUAGCCUUUAAAUUAAGUUGAACCAAAUUACUGUUUAUCUGUACUAGUAAUUAUGAGGUUACACUCUGAUAGUGCUCCAAAUGAAGUUCUUUGGUUUUGAAAUUUAUUUGUGCUAUUAGAAGUUUUAGUCGCUUACAUACUUACAACAUCCCAUCCUUUACUGUUUUACAGCCUGAAAAAGGUCUGCAAGAGAGAUGGCCUAAAAGGCCUGUAAUGAAUGAUAACAGAGGAAUGUUGAGGUAUAUUAUGAAAGUAACUACAAAUAUUAAUUUCUAGAAAACAAAUACUUCUUGUUAAUUUUUUAACUAAAACACAUAAAACUGGUAUUUAAAAAGUUCUCAUUGGUCAUGGCAUGAUGACAAUGGAGCAAAUUUACAUUCAGGUGUGUUAAAAAAAUCACUUGUACCAGCCAACUACAUAUACAAGCUUAAAUGCCUAUUUAUACCUGCUGAAGAAAUCAACUGCCACUAGCAUGGAAGUCACAUUGGCUGCUUGCAUUUAUCUGUAACAAACUGAUACUGUCAAGUGACAUUUUCUAAAAAGGGAGCCGUAAGAUAGUGCCAAGUGCACUGAAUUAUCCAUAAUGAAAUCAGACUGAACAAUUUUCUCAACAUUUUCUAUUAAAAUAUUUCUUUAAAUAUUUGUAUGCAUGUGUUCUUUAUUGGUUUCACCACAGUCUCAAAUUGGUAAGUGUAAAUUCAUAGCAGAAAGUCUCAUUACUGAGGCUAUGCAAUUUUUUGCUCUUGGUUAAGCAUCAGUGUGAAACACGUCUAUCCUAACUGGUAUUCACAUGGGAUUUGUCUACUGGCUGCAUCACCAACCAAAACAUGCUAUAGGUGUCAGAUACAUAUGAUGAAUCAUUAAUUUUAUUUCUAGUUGUAGGGGGAAAAAGUACAGCUUUAAGUCAGCAUUAUCAUAAUCAAUUAAAUGACAUGAACAUUUUUAAAUCCACGUACUUACCCUUUGCAGGACAAGGUCUUUAAAUCUACUUCACUGCCCAUGUGCAUAAAUUCUGAUAGCUACUACAUUAGGCUCACAACUGAGAAAUCCAGAAAGCCAAGUAUUUCUGCUUUAGGGCCUCACACGGGGAGGAAAAAUAAAAGCCUAAAUUUUCUGGUGCACACUCCUUCAGUAGCAGUGGCAGGUGAGCUCUGUGGAUUUUUGUAAGGCCAGCUGCUAAUGGACAAUUGCACAUACCCAAUUGGGAAACAGCUACACAGGUAAAUUUUGCUACAUGCCAAAAAUAAAGCAUACUGUAACCCUUCACGAACACAAUGCUAAUGGAAAACAGCUUAUUCCAAUGGAUCCAUUAAAGGCAUCAGCCCCAAUACCACUCCAUUCCCUGUAAAUGUGCAGGUUGUAAAGGAUUGUGAACUGCCCUCAGCUAAUUCAACUGCCAUUAUUGCCCAGUAACUAUUUCUUGAACAUUGAUGGAAGAGCCUCAGUUCCUCAGAACCCAACAAGCAACUCUACUCCUACAAAAGACUGAGCUGAAAUACUGAUUUUGGGUGGACAGCAACAGUACUGACGAUACAAUGAACUUUGUCUGGAUGUGUUUUUUAAACCACCAGCUACCUGCCUGCAGGACAAAACCAUAGGUAGAAUUCAGACCAAUGUCCCGUUUCUAAUUAGAGCAGACUCAUUUGAAGUGUCUUCCCUUUCUACAAGUAGCCUGUGUUUAAAGAAAAAUUCCAAACAGACAUAUACACAUACACAAAAUCCACACCGAACAAAAAUUCCCAAACAGGGCCUGAUUUUGGCUAUGCUUUAUAGUUCCAUGUCCUUAAGUGAUGUGUGGUUAGGCUAGACAGCUGAAGCUCUUAAUGCACUUUUUGUACUGGCCUUAGACCAUAUUUGCAAUCUCUGUACCAAAAUAGACACAGUAUAAAAUUGAGCUUUUCAGGUAAACAGGACUGAUCAAAGUUGUUGCUGAAAGGGUUGUAAAACGUGGGUAACACCUGACUGAAGCCUGUCUUGUCUUUAUUAUUGAUAGAUCAAGAUUUUCACAAAAUCAAAAUCCCAAGUGUAUAAACCAUGAGCUUUAUUGCGUGGAAAGACACGAUGUGAUAUCAGACCUACUCUGGACCCAGAUGACACAAGGACAUUACAGCUGCAUCCUACCUUACUACUACUCUGUUGAAACACAAGCCUGUGAAGUUAGACUGAAAACACUUUUUAAAUAUAACUAGGAAACCACUAAGCUAAUGAUUGUAAAUAUAGCUGUUGACAACAGCAACAAAAACCAGAAAUACCCAAGUGGGGAUGAUCAUUAAAAUACUGGUCCCAUAGCAAAGCUUUUAAGUAGUCUGUAACAGUCAGUGGUAAACUACAUUUCUGUUAUGUUAGAAAGAGCUUAUCUGCAAGGUUAGGAAAGGUCAGAUUAAGAAAAAGGAAAAACACUGGGUGGACUGUAUUCCCAUUAUUGAUGGCAGCAACAUGUUCUCUGAAGCAUUACCUGCUGGCUGCUCCAAGAUUCACACCUGGUUCUGGAGGAACAUCCACCAGCAGCAAAGGCAAGCAGAGUACUCCCAUCCAACAGCAAGCGCCAGUGCCUGCUUUGUGCCCUGCACGGCUGGACACGCCCAGAGCCAUCCUGCCACCAAGCGCUCCCAGAACAGACACAGCUUUCUGCUGAACCCUACACGCACCUUAAAUGACCACUACGGUACUGCACUGAAGUGCAGCUUUAAAUUCAGGGUUUAGGUUUUAUUCAGUAGAUUCGGCUUUUUACAGUGCCAAAUUUUACAAGCUAAAGAUGUUCCUGCUCAAGAGCUUACAAUCUAGUUUUAGAUGGGGAAAGCGGAACAAACUUCAAUGAGAGAAAGAACUGACAAAGCAUUUCACGAGUAUCAACUUGUUAAUCUUUGUCCCAAAACACACACACACACAUUAGUUCAUCCUCUGGGAGUCAGAAGUACAGUUCUAAGAAUCUUGAGGACAGAGGUGAUCAGAGACCUAUAAAUAAGGCAACAGGACACAGCACCAGGGUGUAGUGAGAAACUGUUUAUUAAUUAAACCAAAUAGAGAUGGCAGAUGUAACCAUGUGAUGUCUUAUUACUGUAGUGCAUACCUCAUGAAGUACUGCAACUUGACACCUGCUACACAGCUACUAGAACUCAGUGAAGUCCUCCAGCCACCCAUUUUCAUACAAGAAUGCCCCAAAAUUAACCUAACAAGGGGGGAGGGAAGAGCGCUGGUAACAGCCAUUUUCUUGGGACUUUCCCCCAGUCACCUUUUUCGUACAAUGAAGCAGCAUGGGAGGUCUCACAAGCUAGUCUGUGACUACAAGAUGCCCAAACACUGUUAACCCAAUGUUCAUAGCACUCUGUCAGGCAAGUCACACAGGUAUUAUUUAUACAAUGGUAAUUUUACUGCUAUGAACAAACCAGUUCUUGCUCCAUUAACUGGAAUAAGUCCUGACAAAAUUUCUGUACAACACAAGCCAACAGUAGCUGCAAAGCAAAAACAUGACUAGUAAAAGGGACAGUACUUCUGGCAAAAUGGAUUAUUACCCAGGCAAACCCUUCCAUGUAACACUCCUAUGCAUUCCUAGACACACUGAAUGGUAUGGCUGAAUAAACAUGGCUGAAGAGAAACAGCAAUCUCCCUUACAUCAAAAAGCAACAGCACUACUAUAGUAGUGUUCACUUGCAUCACACACUACUUCAAAAACCAAAUGGAACACUGAACCUACAGGGAAUGCACAGCCCCAGUAUGUUCCCAACAAAUUAUCCUCUACCAAUGAGGCAAAGCUGCCAAAAACAAACUCAGUUGACAACUGUUUGAAAAUUCAGAUUCAUUUCUGGCGCUUGGGUUUUCUUCCCCAGAAUCAACAUGACUUCAUCACCAAGAGAUCAUGUACAUUCAUCAUCCAUCUAAAAGAACAUUUUCCUACACGUGACAAAGUUCAAGUCCUGUUCAUUUUACAGUAUUAACAGCAAUUGUUCGAAUUUUCUUGAAUGUUUUCUAGCACCCGCAGCAAAAUAGAAGAAAAAAAUUCAACUUUCGUUGUUUGUAACACAAAAUCUGAGUGGCCAGAAGCCUACUGCUGACCUCUUUUCCCCAUCACUUCAUAAAACAAGUCAUACUCGAUUUUUGGGUGUUCUUUGGCUCACAUACUAGUUAGCAACAAGUUACAUUGUUUUUCUUUCUUCCCUCAGUUGGCUGCACAGAGUGUUUGCUGGGGGAAAGCUGGACAACCUGACAGCCUGAUCCUCAGCUGUUAGUACCUGGAAACACUGCAAUGUUACACUUACUUGGAAGACAAAAAUCUGUAGUGACAAAAUCCCACUUGACAGAAAGUAAGAAUCCAUUGUCUACAAAUUGAUGACCAGUAACAGACCACACAAUAAUGCUUUUAUUUGAAGUUGCUAACUUCCAGUAUCAGGUUGACUCAAAAUUGUGACUUCUCUCACCACAUUUGCUGGUGACCACUGCUGACUGUCACGUGCCUUAACUUUUAAGACCAUACCAAGAGAAAAGUCAUGGGAGCUCAACAGAAGGACAUCAGGAAACUUAAAGACACCAGGUUUUCAAGACUUGAAAUAUCCAGUGAUUUAAUUCUUGCACAGUGCUGUUCCCUCUGUAUGCUCCCUUCCCCCACUGCCAUCAGAUCAAAAUGAGAACAUCCUCCUUAUGGAAAACAUACUCAAUGCAAGUAAAUUUUAAACCUUGUUACUACACUACUGAAAUAGUAUUUGAAACAGAAAAAUAAUUACUGCCCUUUGAAGUGGUUUGGUUAGUUUUCUUAAAACGGUGUAUGAAUGUAGACUUGGCAACUGUAAAGAAAAAACUUCCAUCAACUACAUCUAAGUUAUAGGAAAGAAGGCAAAUUCCUUAUGACCUGGUCAGUCAUUCUGUUGGAAAGAAGAAAGUAAAGCAGAUUUGUGCGUCUUCCAUUGCAGGCCACCGGUUACCUAUUCAAGUAUUUCAAAGUUCAACUUGAGAAACAGAAAAAAAUGGUAUGUGAAUCCUUAAACAGUAUUAUAAAGGUUAAAGACAUGAUGAUUCUGCCAAAGCAUACACAUUUCAAGUUUUGAAUGAACCAUGCAUGAAGGUAAGUGGUUAAAACAGUAUAACCUCAAGAUACCUCCCCUUAAAUACACUCCCAACUGAAGCUUUCUCAAACUCACACUUGGUGUUUAAUGGUUUUGUUUGGUUUGGUGUUUUUUGUUUUGGUAUUUUCCUUCCACCUCCAGAUGCAGCUAUGGAUAAUAGUUUUGUACAGCUGGAACUCUACAUUCCAGUCAGUCUGUCUGUCUUCAUGCUAAAAGCUCUUUCAAAAUGGAAAGGAUAAAGCUCUUGUCCUAUUGCAAUCUGACAAACUGACUUAGGUUGUAGUUUUGUUAACAGCGAAGUAUGCGGUAAUAUAAAACACAGCCAAAAAAGCUAGUUUUAAGCACUUGUGUCCAACAGCAAAGACAUCAGCACUUUUCAAUUUGCAGCACUGUUUCUCCCAAAAGAGAACAGAUGCCCAAGGUCAGAGAAACAAGUUCCAUGAACACACUUGUUGAACUGAUUCUGUUUUAAAUUCACCUCAAAAUGGAAUGUUCCAGAUCAUGAAAGGGUCUAAACAUAAACAUUAUCUAAUGUUAGAUACACACUAAGUUUUUAUUAAGCAUUACACUAGAACUACUUUGGUAUAAAAAUACUUUAUUUUAAAGCUAUGAAAGUUAUAAAUAGAUGUAGUUAAACUUUCUACUCACAGAAUGUUUGCUAUUUUAACAUUAGUGAUUUGUUUCUCCUAACGAAUCUGAAUUUUAUUCGAAAGGUUUACAAGACAUUAUUACUGUAAUUUUUUAAAAAACCCAUCAUUACAGGGAGCUGUACUAAUUGUGAUGUUUUAUCAGUAUUCAUUUAACCUCUAGAUUUUUAAUGAAGGCAGCAAAAACAACUAUUUUCUGAUGAUACAGAAUUUCUUAUUUCUUGAAGCGUUUCUGUGGUUGACCACUUCUUCAUUAGUUACCUGCAGCAUGGCACCUUCCUGCCAAAGAAAAAAAAAGUGUAUCUGAAGAUGUUUAUCACAUAUGUCUAAACCAAAUUACCAAUAGGGGAACUUCAGCCAUUUUUAAAAAAAAAA